UACGUAGGGGGCAAGCGUUGUCCGGAAUUAUUGGGCGUAAAGGGUGCGUAGGCGGCGCGGUAAGUCGGGUGUGAAAUCUCGGAGCUUAACUUCGAAACUGCAUUCGAUACUGCCGUGCUUGAGGACUGGAGAGGAGACUGGAAUUUACGGUGUAGCGGUGAAAUGCGUAGAUAUCGUAAGGAAGACCAGUGGCGAAGGCGGGUCUCUGGACAGUUCCUGACGCUGAGGCACGAAGGCCAGGGGAGCAAACGGG
This 253-nucleotide ribosomal RNA is filed under the name uncultured bacterium. Its description in RNAcentral is "partial 16S ribosomal RNA". It matches the Rfam family "Bacterial small subunit ribosomal RNA", at positions 524 to 776 of the family's 1533-position model. The record is from RNAcentral.